This 8978-nucleotide long non-coding RNA is filed under the name Homarus americanus (American lobster). RNAcentral describes it as "uncharacterized LOC121863585". Lineage: Eukaryota; Metazoa; Arthropoda; Malacostraca; Decapoda; Nephropidae. The record is from RNAcentral.
CUGGUAGUCGAAGCAUGGAAAACUAAGACCGAAUGAACGGGUGCUUCGUAAACCAUGGUAGUAGAAGCGCCUAACACAAAACAAAAAUAACAAUAAUAUUCAUACCCUCAUGUAACCAAAAUACGCUGACCAAUCUCCAGUAAUUGCCGAUGCGUUUCCUAUGUACAGUAAAGAACAGAAUUACCUGGAUACUUUUUUAGCACUAUCUGGCAUCCACUUAAGGGUCAUGUAGGAGGGAGGGAGGGUGAGGGAGAGAGGGAGAAAAUAAUAUUCAAACCUUUUAUAAUGAAAUUCUUAUCAUUUAUAUAUUUGCUCAAAAAAAGUUUCUUGCCGGAGAGGGUCGAUGAGUCUCCAAAUGAACACUGUGACUCCUGUUGUCUCGGUAGGGUUGUCAAAAUCCUUCGUCCGUUGUGUCAUAUUGUCUCACACAAAAUUGUAGAGAUACUUUUUGGAGCUAAUUACGUGGGUUCUUUACAUAGUGUUCAUUUUGACGUAAUUUAUAAUGAAUAUGUGCGUCAAUCACACAUACGAACCACAAGUAUCAUGAAAGGUAUUGGCAAGUGUCUAAGUACUUUUGAUCACAGUUGUACGUCACGGUAACUCGCUAAAGUCGACCACGGUAACUCGCUAAAGUCGGCCACGGUAACUCGCUAUAGUCGACCACGGUAACUCGCUAUAGUCGACCACGGUAACUCGCUAUAGUCGACCACGGUAACUCGCUAAAGUCGGCUAUGGCAACGGACUUUAUUCGAUCACGGUCAUAUAAGAAGCACACUACGAUCCUGAGUUGAUUGUUUCAGAUCUGUGUUAGGGCAGAUUCAAACUAUUGAUAUUGGUGUUAUAACUCGUAAGGUACAGCAGAGUCAGAUCACUAAUACAGCAGAGUCAGAUCACUAAUACAGCAGAGUCAGAUCACUAAUACAGCAGAGUCAGAUCACUAAUACAGCAGAGUCAGAUCACUAAUACAGCAGAGUCAGAUCACUAAUACAGCAGAGUCAGAUCACUAAUACAGCAGAGUCAGAUCACUAAUACAGCAGAGUCAGAUCACUAAUACAGCAGAGUCAGAUCACUAAUACAGCAGAGUCAGAUCACUAAUACAGCAGAGUCAGAUCACUAAUACAGCAGAGUCAGAUCACUAAUACAGCAGAGUCAGAUCACUAAUACAGCAGAGUCAGAUCACUAAUACAGCAGAGUCAGAUCACUAAUACAGCAGAGUCAGAUCACUAAUACAGCAGAGUCAGAUCACUAAUACAGCAGAGUCAGAUCACUAAUACAGCCGAGUCAGGUCACUAAUACAGCAGAGUCAGAUCAUGGAGUAACAAGCUUGGCAGCAGGCCUUCCUUCCCAUCAUCACGGGCGUAGACAAACACACGCUAACAGUAGAGCAAAGAUGGUGUUGUGUGUAUGUGUGUGUGCGUGUUAUGUGUGUGUGUGUGUUUAUAAUGCCCACACAUUAUUCUAAUCCUUACAUAUAUAUAUAUAUAUUCUCUUGAUAUACACUGAUUCUAUAUUAUUUUUCUAUAUAUUGGAGAGGCUCAUAUCUCAAUCAUAUAUAAACUGGGAUGUGAUUUUAAAAGAUGUAUUAAUUAAUUUAUUAACAGAUGGUUAAAAUUGGUAAGCUAUAUACAAUGUGGUCAUUUUUUUAAUAGUUUUAGUUUUUUUUCACUUGAAUAUAAUUUUUGGAUAUAUAAAUUUUGAGUAUAAAUUAAAUAAAUUUGAAAUAUAUAAAAUUAAGUAUAUUUGAAUUAAUUUCAGUCAGAUUUUAAAUUUUAAAUCAAUAUAUUUUUUUUAAUAAACAUAAAUUGUUGACGUCAGUAUAAUUGUCUUACCAUUUAUGUAAUUGUUAUUUUAUUUCCAACAUUUCAGUGAUUUUUUUGAUAAUUUUACGAGUUUGCGGUCAGUAAUAGAGUUCCUGAGUGUUUGUGACGACAAGUCUAUUUCCCAUAAUGCUUUUUGUUAUUUAUCUUUAUUUAGUCUUUAAUAAUUAUCACUGAAUGGGCGUAAGUUACUGUGGUGGAGCCUACUCAGCCACACCACGCCUUUUGGUAUAGUAUUAUCCACACACACACACACACACACACACACACACUGUUACCUCCCAGAUGCACAACUCAAAAUGUUUUAUGUGGCAACUGUGAUUCUUUCUCCCUUUCUUUAUCUGUCUCUCUCUCUCUCUCUCUUUUACCACAGCUGAUCUUACACUCUUGAACCACCUUGAAGAUGAAUUUAUGGAGAUUCAUUCAUAAACUUAAAGAUUUAUUCAUAAAUUUAGGAUAUUAAUUUGUGAGCUUUCUCUUAGUUGUGGAAUUCAUAUACCAAUGUUUUUUUUUCUUUUAUUCAAUUUGAUGGUAGUGAAAGUUAUCCAUGACACACACACACACACACACACACACACACACACACACACACACAUAAGUAGGAACAUACACUUAUCAAGGUAGGUGGUCUCAGGAGAUGGAAAGAUCAGCUGAUUUACCAAAACAAAAAACAUAACACAAUUCCUAGAUGAAAAAAACAAAAGUAAAUUGAAAGUUGAAUCAAUAAUUACUUUCUCUUUCUCUCUCUUUUUAACUUUCUAUUUAUUAACGAUGAAUAAUUAAUCUACCACCGCCAUCAAGUGCUCAUAAAUCUAAUUGUAUAAUAAGAUACAUAAAAAUACAUUUAUUCAAGAAGUAAGAAUAUAAGACGGUGUGUUAAAUGAGGCCCCAGUUCGGUGUGUCGUUUGUGUCUCUAGUGCUCAUUAUUCUCAGCAAGUACUCUUCUUUUCUCAGCACCUACCUUGUCUCAGCACCUUCUUCCUAGUACCCGUCUUCCUCUCAGCAUUAUCCUCCUUCCUAGUACCUUCAUCAUCCCAGCACUUUCCUCCCAGCACCCCCCUCCUCCCUCUCUCAUCACCACCUCCCAGCGCCCGUUUCUCAAUCACCCAACCCUGAGUAUUACAUAACAAGUAAUCCCCCUUAACUUACAUAAAUCCCCAAACAGAUUACUUUUAUACCACUUGAUUUCAGUGGAUUACUAUCAUUGCACACUGAGCAUUUACCAAACACACAUACAACCAAUUUCUCGUCUUUAUUUUCCACUCAGCUGAGAAUCAUUUGAUAGACACGGUUAAGAAUGUAUAACAACCUCUAUUGACGAGUCCAAUUAUCUGAGUACUGUUAUAGAGUCCAAUUAUCUGAGUACUAUUAUAGAGAUUAUAGUAGGCUUCAGGUAGUGUGGUCAUCAGUAUUAUAUCUGUUUAUAUAUUACCACGGCAUCAAGAGUCGUAUGAUUUAUUUUUUUUUUAGUUUAGUUAACCAUCAUAAUUUUAUUCAAGGUAAAAAAACUGGAGUUACUAAAUUCUUCAGAUUGAUUUAAGAAUUUUUUUUUAUUGUUUUUGUAAUGGAGAGACCAUUUACCUGGAGCCUAUGGUACUUCUGAAUUCAUGGUACCAUUUCCCCGGGUACCAUACCAUGAUCGGGUAUUUUUGUGCAGGAACUCUUGUAAAAGGUCCAUAACAGUGUGUAUGUUGCUCCUCUCGGCUGCUGUUAUCUGUAGACGAGAGAGAAGCUAAAUAACUCCUUCAGUGACUUCUUCAGGUCCCUGUUCAGGUGUUCUUGUUCAAGUACCUGUGUUCAGGUCCCUUGUUCAGGCCUGCCUGUUCAGGUAUCUCAAUUCAGGUUAUCUUGUUCAGGUACUACUGGUCAGGUUCAGGUACCUUGUUCAAUUUAUCUCUCUGUAGACUGUCCUUGUACAGGUACACUUGUUCAUUUGGCUUUUGACUGAUUGUCUUUGUACAUGAACAUCUACAGGUAUGUGUGUUCAGUCCAAAUGUCUUUGUUUAUUGCAUUUGUACAUGAACACUAUUAUUAUGUUCAGUACAAUGGUCUUUCUUCACCGUAUUUGUACAUGAACAUCUCUAUAUGUUCAGUCCAGGUGCUAUUGUUCAUAUGUCUUGUUCAAGUGAACCUGUUGAGGUGUGUGGGAGCAGAUGACUUUGCUCAGGUACUAACAACCAAAUGUCCAUGAUUAUUAUUAUACUUUUUUUUUGCUCUUUUUGUUCAAAUUCAGUGUUCAGGCUCCCUUGUUCAAGUGUUCCUGUUCAUUUCCAGUUGUUCAGGUGCCGGGUGGUGGGCGGGGCAUACUAUUGGUGGCACAAACAUUAUUUAAAAUAUAUUUAUAAAAUCUUGUCGCCCUGAGCCAAAGCUUUGAACACAUGUGAAAGAAUAUCACUGUGUGUGUGUGUGUUAAGAGGUGAGGACUAUUCUAACACUGGUGGUAUAGUUCAUCCCAAGUGUUCAACGCCUGGUGAACAGUAUUUCUAGAUAUUUUCAAUUUAUCGUACCAGUGCACACACGCAUACACGUUGGAGGAUGUUUUGAACAUGUGUUAAUGCUUUGAACAUGGGCUAAAGUUUUGAAAAUAUGCUAGAGCUUUGAACAUGGGCUAUAGCUUUGAACAUGGGCUAAAGCUUUGAAUAUGUGUUGAAGCUUUGAACAUGGGCUAAAGCUUUAAACAUUGCUAAAUUUUUUGAUAUCUUGUUUUAGCUUUGAACAUAGGUUAAAGCUUUGAACAUGGGCUAAAGCUUUUAACAUGGACUGUAGCUUUGAACAUAUGCCAGGGUUUUGAAUAUAUGGCAAAGCUUUGAACAUGGGAUAAAAGCUUUGAACAUGUAUCUAUGCUUUAAAAAUGUACUAAUGCUUUGAACACGUAAUUAAUCUCAGAACAUGUACUAAAAUUUUUGAACAAUAUUCCUCAAUACAACAAAAACAAGUUCAAAACAUGUUCUAAAGGUUUAAGACGUGUACCUAAGCUUUGAACAUGAUAAAAAAAAGUUUGAAUAUGUUCAUUCCCCUUUGAACAUGUAUUCAUAGCUGAAGAAAUGGAGAGAUGAUGACUUAAGAAUAUACACAAUGACACACACACACACACACACACACACACACACACACACACACACACACACACACAUACAAACAUUAUUCAGUGUUCAAUUGUUCAAUGUAAUGAUGAACAACUACCUAUAACAAUGUACAACUAGAGAGAUUAAUUAUUCAUCACUGUACACUUGAUAAAAGAUACACACACACACACACACACACACACACAGACACACACACCACCCUUAGCCUUGUACAAAUCAGUCAUUGUUUUUUUUUGUUUUUUGUUUGUUUCUUUGUCACUCUGUAUUCACUCCGUCAUCAUCUCACCAUUUCUUACAGCCGGAUGUACACACCCCCCCCUCCCCUCCUAGUGUUAUUUUCAGGUAUGAUUCUGUUACUACAUUUGUAUAAUACCAAGCCCAGUUGAUCAGUGUCACGUGCGAAUUGUAAGUACACUCAAAUUGUUAUUUCAUUGCCUUACCUUCCCUCCACUUCCCUCCACUCCCCUCCACUUCCCUCCAUUCCCUCCCUAUCCCCAUUCAUCUCUUGAUAUCUCCUAAGCAUUAAUUGGGAAGAUGGUGUUUAACCCUAUGGUAGAAUAAGGGUGGAAAUCCCAUUAGUUUUGCAGUCACUCAAGAUUUAAGAGGUUAGGUUAUUAUGAGUCCAUCUUACCCUCGAAAAAUUAAGAUAUUGGUCAUUUUCUUGUUUUUUUAUUUUAUUUAUUUAUUUUUUUUGGUUCAGUUUUGACUUUGAAUUUAAGAUUUUUCCCUAAAUUAUAGUUCAAUAUUUUUUAUUCUUAAUAUUAACACAUCCACCCCAGUAUACCCUCCCCUCCUCUCUCCUCCCCUCCCCAUCUCCCCUCUUCUCCCCUCACGUGCCCCUGCCUCACCCCCGCUGUGCCAGUCCCCCCCUGCAGUCUUGCCUAGGACCAUGUAGGGGGUGACUCUGCCAAAUACACCAAUCAAAAAAUAUAAAAAAAUCUUUAAAAAGUACUAAAUGCGAUUAAUAUAGGAGUGUCUGGUAAUGCCACCUGCUGCCUAGCCUACUCCCUCCCUCCAGGUGCGGUGGGUGAGGGGUGGGGGAGGCAACAGGUGUUUUGUAAAUAGGGAAUUAAAAAAACAACAACAACCACCACCACCAAGAUAAUGUCCAAUUGUAGCUGUAUUGAGUAAAUCAUAAACCUGUAUAUAUCUUGUGCCUUGAUGAUCAAUACACCAACUGCUAUAUGUAUGUACGAUAAGAAGAUAAUAAAACAAUAUUGCGUUUAUCAGUCUAUCCUUAACAUCCGAACACGAUUUAAUUUUUUUUCUCAAUAAAAUAUAAAAAAAAACAAAAAAAAUAACAAUUUGAUAAUAAAAAACUACACUUAAACAUUUUAGAAAAUUUAUAUAAUAAGAAAUAUUUUAAAAUAUAUAUUUACUGCAUAUACUACAUUCAUAAUGGCAUGCAAGACUUGAAUGAAUGAAGGUUAAAAAAAAUAAUAAUAAAUAUUAAUAAUAAAAAAAAAUCCUCAAGGGACUUAAAUAAGGCUACUUCUUAAUAAGAGCCUCCUGAUGAAUGGGUCAGUUGAAUGAGUCAGUUGCUCCUUACAGUCCAACCCCGUCUAAUCCGACCUAGUUACUUUUUUUCACAAUUUUUUUUUAAUUAAUUUCACAUUAGUCCAGAUCCCAUAGUCCUAUCAGUUUUUCUUUCUCUCUUUAUCACAACAUUAACAACAUUAUAAUAAAAAUAAAUAUAUAUAAAUAAUAAUGAUAACAAACAAAACAUCGUGGUCGGAUUAAUUAAGGUUAGACUGUAUUAAUAUGUAUGGCUGUAUGUCUCUCUGUCUCUCUCUCUCUCUCUCUCUGUAUCUCUCUAAUUAUCUCUCUCUCCCAGGUGUUCGUUUUACGUUCAGUUCAUUUAAUGUGAAAAACAACACUUGGUUAUUUUUAUGUUUCUGUUAAGUUCGUUUAGCUGAAGUGUAUAGAUACUUUUUUUGGUCUGUGACGUUCAGCGAUAACUUCUAAAUAUUUCGCUUAUUUUUGUCUGUUUUUUGGGGGGGGGGGUUAUGCUCAGUUGCUACAACAUACAGACACACACAGACACUUUUCAUCAGCUUGUGUAUGUGCACCGCUUACAGACAGCCACCAACACAGACAGACAGACAAACCGUUAAUCCACCUAUCUCUUGUGUUGAUGUUGGCAUAAUUUGGGUGGGGGGUUGGGGGGGGAGAAAAUUCAUAUGUAAAAAUCAUCACAAAAUUUGAACAAAAAUCGAGUUUAAACAUUGAUAAAACUAGGUUGUACUACAUUACACUGAGGGAGUCAAAUUAAAAUCCUGAAACAUGAUACGAAAUCCAGGAAUAUAAGAAGCACGCACUCUUAUUCCUACACAAACGCACUCUUCAUUAUUUUACAAGUGCACUCUUUCACUCUUAGACACUCGAUAUCUAAGAGCACAGAACAUACUCUCUAAUCCUCCACAAACGUAUUCUUGUCGACAUAGAGAAUUAGAUUAUUUUUAAGUUAAUAAAUUUGCAUCUUUGGCUCUUGAUAAUUCAUAAUGUUAGAUCACGUUAGGUGUUUGUUGAUUGGGAUGAUUAUGGCGGUAGAAUUAGGUAGAGACUAUACAGAAUAUGGAUUUAAUGUAGGAAUAGUGUUUAGUAGACCAUUGAGUGGCCCCCUUCUUGAUGUAGAUGAAGGUGCUAGUCUCUCUCUCUCUCUCUCUCUCUCUCUCUCUCUCUCUCUCUCUCUCUGUUUAUCACAUCUCCAAGUCUUUUGUUUACCAGCAAACUUAAUUUUUAUACUUAUGUUUAUUUAUAGAGUACACACACAUACACACACACACACACACACACACGUAUUCAUUAAUGCAUGGGUAUAUAAUGUGCGUGUCUGUGUGCAUCUAUACGUCCAUAUAAAUGUGUAUAUAUGUGUGUGUACAUUUGUAUAUACAGUAUAGAUAUAAUGUGUACAGUCACGACCAAAAGUCCUCCAACACGUUGCUAUAUCUGCCCUCAACUUGUGAAUUGACUUGUAAAUGGUGGAUGGAGUUUCAAGCUUAUUUAUCUUCUUCUCUCUGUCUAUAUUCCUCCAUCUAAUCAUUUUUCUAUCCUUCUAUCUCUCUAUACCUUUCUUUAUUGCCCUUUAUUGUAUGCCUUCUUUAGCGUCAUGUUGUGGCAUUUACCUUCUCUCAUUACCGUUGAUUACAGGUAAGACAUGAGCACUUUACUGUUAGAUCAGGUAACAACAGGUAAUAUUAACAGGUGAUUACUAACAUCAACGGCAUUGUAUUACCUGUUACCUUACCGUCCAAAACAACAGGUGAAGAUCAGAUAAUCACUAUAAUUACCUGUACAUUCAUGAUAAUUAGUAAUCUAUACCUGUUGAAGCAUAAGAUAAGAAUUUUCAAGUAGAUUAUUCAUCGUUUUUAUUCAUUUUGACAUUUUAUUGUUAGUCUUUGGUCAGAUGGGAAUGAAUAACAAAAGUAAUAGGUUUUUAGUGCCCCUGUAACGCGCUAUAUGUGAGUAACAAAGGUGGGGGUGUAUAGGUGUAUUGCUAAUGAGCUAACACAGUGUUACAUAGGUGGGUGAGGGCACAUUAUGUAACGCACACUCUGUAACGCACACACUAUUUGAUGCACACUCUUUGUAACGCACACGAAGUAAUGUCCACACUAUGUAACGCACACUCUGUGUAACGCAGAUUCUAUGUAACGUACACACUACUUAACGCACACUAUGUAACGCACACUCAAUGUAACGCACAAUCUAUGUAACGCACACUUUAUGUAACAUACAGUCUACGUAACGCACACUACAUAAUACACAGAAUAUAACACACACACAUAUUAAGCACACACUUACCUAACACACACACUAAACACACACUCGUCUUAACACACUCCACAUAACACAACCCAUAUAUAUAUAUAUAAACCCUAAAAAGCAGCUUAAAAAAAAUAACAGCUUGAAAAAACAAAACUAAAAUGGCCCCAAAAAAUCAUAAAAUUCUAAAAUUACGAAAAGUCACGUCAAUACUUCCAUGGUAAUUGUUAAUGUUAUUGUUAUUGUUAUUUUCACCAGCUGAUAAUGUCCUUCUGCAACCCAUGAGUUAUAUUUCAUAAUAACAACCUUA